GACAGAGGGUGCAAACGUUGUUCGGAAUUACUGGGCGUAAAGGCGAGUGUAGGCGGUUCGAUAAGUCGGAUGUGAAAGCCCCGGGCUCAACCCGGGAAGUGCACUCGAUACUGUCGAGCUAGAGUAUCGGAGAGGUUGGUGGAAUUCUCGGUGUAGAGGUGAAAUUCGUAGAUAUCGAGAGGAACACCGGUGGCGAAGGCGGCGAUCUGGACGAUGACUGACGCUGAGACGCGAAAGCGUGGGGAGCAAACAGG
This 254-nucleotide ribosomal RNA is filed under the name uncultured bacterium. RNAcentral describes it as "partial 16S ribosomal RNA". It matches the Rfam family "Bacterial small subunit ribosomal RNA", at positions 524 to 776 of the family's 1533-position model. The record is from RNAcentral.